CCUACGGGUGGCAGCAGUGAGGAAUAUUGGUCAAUGGGCGCGAGCCUGAACCAGCCAAGUAGCGUGAAGGAUGACUGCCCUACGGGUUGUAAACUUCUUUUAUAAAGGAAUAAAGUGAGGCACGUGUGCCUUUUUGUAUGUACUUUAUGAAUAAGGAUCGGCUAACUCCGUGCCAGCAGCCGCGGUAAUACGGGGGAUCCGAGUGUUAUCCGGAUUUGUUGGGGUUAAAGGGAGCGUAGAUGGGUUGUUAAUUCAGUUGUGAAAGUUUUCGGCUCAACCGUAAAAUUGCAAUUGAGUCUGGCAGCCUUGAGUUCAGUUGAGGGAGGCGGGAUUUGGGGUG
RNAcentral lists this ribosomal RNA (340 nucleotides) under uncultured bacterium. RNAcentral describes it as "partial 16S ribosomal RNA". It matches the Rfam family "Bacterial small subunit ribosomal RNA", at positions 338 to 675 of the family's 1533-position model. The record is from RNAcentral.